AUUGAACGCUGGCGGCAUGCUUUACACAUGCAAGUCGAACGGUAACAGGGUGCUUGCACCGCUGACGAGUGGCGAACGGGUGAGUAAUGCGUCGGAACGUGCCGAGUAGUGGGGGAUAACGCAGCGAAAGUUGUGCUAAUACCGCAUACGUACUGAGGUAGAAAGUGGGGGACCUUCGGGCCUCACGCUAUUCGAGCGGCCGACGUCUGAUUAGCUAGUAGGUGAGGUAAAGGCUCACCUAGGCGACGAUCAGUAGCGGGUCUGAGAGGAUGAUCCGCCAGACUGGGACUGGGACACGGCCCAGACUCCUACGGGAGGCAGCAGUGGGGAAUUUUGGACAAUGGGCGAAAGCCUGAUCCAGCCAUGCCGCGUGUCUGAAGAAGGCCUUCGGGUUGUAAAGGACUUUUGUCGGGGAGGAAAUCCCCAGCGUUAAUACCGCUGGGGGAUGACAGUACCUGAAGAAUAAGCACCGGCUAACUACGUGCCAGCCGCCGCUGUAA
RNAcentral lists this ribosomal RNA (500 nucleotides) under uncultured bacterium. RNAcentral describes it as "partial 16S ribosomal RNA". It matches the Rfam family "Bacterial small subunit ribosomal RNA", at positions 30 to 523 of the family's 1533-position model. The record is from RNAcentral.